Molecule: ribosomal RNA, 305 nt
Filed under: uncultured bacterium
Lineage: Bacteria
Description: bacterial SSU rRNA
Rfam family: Bacterial small subunit ribosomal RNA
Source: RNAcentral
UCCUACGGGGCGCAGCAGUGAGGAAUAUUGGUCAAUGGGCGGAAGCCUGAACCAGCCAAGUCGCGUGAGGGAAUAAGGCCCUACGGGUCGUAAACCUCUUUUGCCGGGGAGCAAGGGCCGGGACGCGUCCCGGCCCGGAGAGUACCCGGAGAAAAAGCAUCGGCUAACUCCGUGCCAGCAGCCGCGGUAAUACGGAGGAUGCGAGCGUUAUCCGGAUUUAUUGGGUUUAAAGGGUGCAUAGGCGGGCUUUUAAGUCAGCGGUAAAAAUUCGGGGCUCAACCCCGUCCCGCCGUUGCAACCUGGGG